Molecule: non-coding RNA, 117 nt
Filed under: Spumella elongata
Lineage: Eukaryota; Chrysophyceae; Chromulinales; Chromulinaceae
Source: RNAcentral
CGAUGGUUGCGAUGACGGUUGCUCAGACGGCUGUAAGCUAGGUUGCGAUGAAGGCUGGCCGGUCGGUAUUGCGGAAGGCUGAGACGAAGGCUGACGCGAUGGCUGAACAGAAGGCUG